RNAcentral lists this ribosomal RNA (491 nucleotides) under uncultured bacterium. RNAcentral's name for it is "partial 16S ribosomal RNA". It matches the Rfam family "Bacterial small subunit ribosomal RNA", at positions 29 to 506 of the family's 1533-position model. The record is from RNAcentral.
AGUGAACGCUGGCGGUAGGCCUAACACAUGCAAGUCGAACGGCAGCACAGUAAGAGCUUGCUCUUACGGGUGGCGAGUGGCGGACGGGUGAGGAAUACAUCGGAAUCUACUUUUUCGUGGGGGAUAACGUAGGGAAACUUACGCUAAUACCGCAUACGACCUACGGGUGAAAGCAGGGGAUCUUCGGACCUUGCGCGAUUGAAUGAGCCGAUGUCGGAUUAGCUAGUUGGCGGGGUAAAGGCCCACCAAGGCGACGAUCCGUAGCUGGUCUGAGAGGAUGAUCAGCCACACUGGAACUGAGACACGGUCCAGACUCCUACGGGAGGCAGCAGUGGGGAAUAUUGGACAAUGGGCGCAAGCCUGAUCCAGCCAUACCGCGUGGGUGAAGAAGGCCUUCGGGUUGUAAAGCCCUUUUGCUGGGAAAGAAAAGCAGCAGGUUAAUACCCCGCUGUUCGGACGGUACCCAAAGAAUAAGCACCGGCUAACUUCGU